This 497-nucleotide ribosomal RNA is filed under the name uncultured bacterium. RNAcentral's name for it is "partial 16S ribosomal RNA". It matches the Rfam family "Bacterial small subunit ribosomal RNA", at positions 28 to 507 of the family's 1533-position model. The record is from RNAcentral.
GAUGAACGCUGGCGGCGUGCCUAAUACAUGCAAGUCGAGCGAACAGAUGAGGAGCUUGCUCCUCUGACGUUAGCGGCGGACGGGUGAGUAACACGUGGAUAACCUACCUAUAAGACUGGGAUAACUUCGGGAAACCGGAGCUAAUACCGGAUAAUAUAUUGAACCGCAUGGUUCAAUAGUGAAAGACGGUUUUGCUGUCACUUAUAGAUGGAUCCGCGCCGCAUUAGCUAGUUGGUAAGGUAACGGCUUACCAAGGCAACGAUGCGUAGCCGACCUGAGAGGGUGUUCGGCCACCCUGGAACUGAGACACGGUCCAGCCUCCUACGGGAGGCAGCAGUAGGGAAUCUUCCGCAAUGGGCGAAAGCCUGACGGAGCAACGCCGCGUGAGUGAUGAAGGUCUUCGGAUCGUAAAACUCUGUUAUUAGGGAAGAACAAAUGUGUAAGUAACUAUGCACGUCUUGACGGUACCUAAUCAGAAAGCCACGGCUAACUACGUG